CAGGUAGCAGUGAAAUGCGUAGAUAUUGAGAGGAACACCAGUUGCGAAGACGAUCUCUGACGAUCCUGACGCUGAAGCACGAAAGCUGGGGAGCGAAGAGGAUUAGAUACCCUCGUAGUCCCAGCCGUAAUCGGUGCGCACUUGCUGUGGGCGGAUUCGACCCCGUCCGUGGCGAAGCUAACGCGUUAAGUGCGCCGCCUGGGAGUACGGUCGCAAGAUUAAAACUCAAAGAAAUUGACGGGGGCCUGCACAAGCGGUGGAGUAUGUGGCUUAAUUCGAUGCAACGCGAAGAACCUUACCUGGCCUUGACAUGUAGCGGCCCGGGUGCGAAAUCACCCUUUUCUUCGGAACUGCUACACAGGUGCUGCAUGGCUGUCGUCAGCUCGUGUCGUGAGAUGUUGGGUUAAGUCCCGCAACGAGCGCAACCCCCGUGUUCUGUUGCCACCCGGAUGAGAAUCCGGAGCACUCUGGACAGACUGCCUGGUUUCAACCAGGAGGAAGGUGGGGAUGACGUCAAGUCAGUAUGGCCCUUACGGCCACGGCUGCACACGUACUACAAUGCCCGGUACAAUGGGAAGCGAGACCGCGAGGUGGAGCAAAUCCUAAAAACCGGGCCCAGUUCAGAUUGUAGGCUGCAACUCGCCUACAUGAAGGAGGAAUCGCUAGUAAUGCCGUAUCAGCUACGACGGCGUGAAUACGUUCCCAGGCCUUGUACACACCGCCCGUCACAUCAUGAAAGUCGAUUGUACCCGAAGUCGCCGAGUUAACCGCAAGGAGACAAGCGCCGAAGGUAUGGUUGGUAAUUGGGAUGAAGUCGUAACAAGGUAA
RNAcentral lists this ribosomal RNA (828 nucleotides) under uncultured bacterium. RNAcentral describes it as "bacterial SSU rRNA". It matches the Rfam family "Bacterial small subunit ribosomal RNA", at positions 671 to 1499 of the family's 1533-position model. The record is from RNAcentral.